Molecule: unclassified non-coding RNA, 9076 nt
Filed under: Ceratitis capitata (Mediterranean fruit fly)
Lineage: Eukaryota; Metazoa; Arthropoda; Insecta; Diptera; Tephritidae
Description: inner centromere protein A, transcript variant X2
Source: RNAcentral
CGAAAUUGUCAUGUUUCUCUCUUGUUUUGAGCACAGCGAUUCUCGUUCUCAAAGCUUGAUUGUUGCGGCGCCCAAUGUAUCUGAGAGAUACGAAGUGCCAUUGUCGUGCGGUUGGCACUUUCGUCGGUUGGUGUUGCCGCUAACGUAGCUGUCACAGAUAACGACGUCUCGUUGUUGUUCUGCUUCUUUUGUGGAAGAAGGUGGUGCGUGUCGCGUAUUUCGCUAAAUAUUUUACAGAUAAAUGAAUAUGUACUUGAUUGUCGAGAACACUGAAAACUAGUGAAACGAAGUUUGCCAAGUGGAUUAAAAUAAAGGUUUUCAUAAGUUUUAAAAGCACACAAAAUUUCAUUGGCGAAGAUAUAUGUAAUUGUAAAUAUGUGCGUAUGUAGAUACUAAUGCCUAUCGAAUUAAAGGAAUUGCAUAUUUGGAAUAGAAAUGAAAGAGCAACAGAUUAAAUUUAAAGUUAAUUGUCACAUUUCCUUACAGCUAAAGCUUCUUUGAGCCGAUAGUGAUGAUGAUAAUUACAUAUAUGCAUAAAUACAUACAUAAUUUACGAAUAAUGGGCGAAAUGUGAAGUGUUUGCUAUAAAUAUAUAUGUACAUGCAUAAGUAAAUGUGCAUAUGCAAGUUCAAAGUGUAUAGUAGAUUCAUACAAAUAUACAUACAUACGUAUAUGCAAUACCGAAGAGAGUGUAAUGUACGAGUAGAAAAAUGUGAUAAGUAAGUUUUCGCGAAAAAUGCAUGUCUAAAGUAGACGAAAAAACAAAACUUUGGCAGAAUUCUGUACAACUGGCAGACGAAGAGACCGACGAAAAUAAUAACAACUGCGACAACAAAUAAAUAAAAGCAGCGAAAACACUAGCAUACAUAUGUAUGAUACGUUUGUACAACAAAAGUUUUUGGAAUAUCAACCAUAUCAACUAGCCAGCGAGACAGUACGCGGACAGGGGGUAUGGAUAUAGCGACUAGGUCGCCUCAUUUGUUUGUGGUUGUGUUAGCGCUUUAACCCCCUUUGGCGCCCAACUUUAUCUGUGAGCGUGUGUCGAUACUUUCGAGUCGCGACGACAAACAGACGAGACAAAAGUCUGCCUCUGCGUCUCCCAUAUAUGUAUGUAUUUUUAGUGUAUUUUCUAAUCAGAAGAAAAAAGCAACAAAAAAGCUAGUGCAAUAAAAACAACAACGAUAAUGACUGCCGAUGGCGGAAAGCAAAAAGUGAAGCAAAAGAAGAACCGAAGCGAAUGAAAAUCAGACUGAGAGAGAGAGCAAAACACGCGCCAUCCAUGUACGCGACCACCGAUGCCGACGCCUGUCGCCAAUCAAACCAACACACAUACGUAUCACAGCAUCGCAGUCGCAGCUUCGCUCUUUGGGGCUUUUAGACGUCGGUAUUCGUUAUCGUUCUCUCAUUUGGUGAGCUCCACCAAAAUAACAAAAUACAACUGAAGCAAAAGCAAAAAGUGGCAGUGCACAUCGCGCCACAGCGAGCGGGAGAAUUAUUUGUGCGCUCGCAGCGAACACGAGAAAGGGAUACGAAGAGAAGCAGCAGCCGCGAAGCAGUACUAUUGGCAGAAUCCACUUGGAUUUUUGACAUUUCAGCCUCAGAGCGCCACAAUUUGGUCAUCAGUCGAACGGUCAGUCGUAAGGUCGUUUGUUUGGCGCACUGUUCUGCAUGCGCACGAUAUCUAGAUAAAAGCAGUACAACAAACGCAUAGCAGAUAAACAUAAAUACAUACAUAUAAGUGGAUUUAGGGAGAUGCGUCUAUUAGUCCAAUGGCAAAAGUGCCAAACCACAUUCAUACAUACAUACAUCCACACAUCCAUACAUACAUACAUAUAUGCAGAUGUGCAGUGAUUGUAAAUAUUCAGUGCAAAAGUGUGUAAAAAAUAUCUUCCAAAAGUUUUCAAAAAUCACUAAAGAAUUGUGAGUGUUUCAAAAGGCGAUAGCAACCCAGUGAUAAAUAGAGAAAUUUGCAAUUGCGGCUUGGCUAGCGAUCAUACUCUGAGUAAUCAGAAACACACUCAAAAUACCAUGUAUGUACAUAUGUACAUAAAUACAUAUAAAAUUAUGUGAAUUAGCCACUAAAAGCAACCAAGGAGGGAAAGAAGUAUAAAAUCAAAAUAAAAACAUGAGAAUUAACGAAAUUUUUCUACUUCUUACUGUGCCUGAGAGUUUAAAAAUAACCUCACAGUUUUUUAAAUUCUUUGUUUUUAUUUGUUGUCAGUGCGCUGUUUCUGAAAUUCCGUCGCUGCCAAAACCGGGCUGUGUGCGAAGUGCUGCGCAAAGCAAAUAAAACGAAACUAGCAAAUAACAGCAACACAGGGGCGGGAGAAGGCUUGACGUAGCUGUGAAGAAGCCUUCGCGUUGUGUGUCGCUGUCGCUGUGUUUGAAAAAGCUCGAGUGUGAAAUGCCGACGGAUUUGUAUGCGAAAAUAAUUGAAGCUGCGAUGAAAUAGAAAUAAUGCAAGAGUAGAAUACAUAGUUUUAUAAUUCAUCGUAAGCGCACUAUAACGGCACCAAAAUAAUAUCAAAAAUGAAAAAUAAUUUAUUAAUAAUUAGUUAAUAAAAUGUGUCAAAAAUAAAAAAGUGCCAAAGUGUUGAGAAAGUUUAUAUUAAUUUUCCUGGUGGAAAAGUGUGAGUUCCGCUGUAAAGUUUCAGCUGGUAUUUAGUCGCAUUAGUAAUUCUACAUUAAAAUAUAUUGCAAUCAAUUAUGACAAAUGUAACCAUACCGGUUCACAGCCAAACACUGCUGUGAGUGCGCGAAGCUACAAUUGAAGAAAAGUCCGUAAUCCAUUUAAACUAACACCGCAUUUGGAUAUAACGAAGAAAUCUAGCCCUUCCAUCACCUCUGGGCAGGGACUAGGGAGAGGCUCUAAAAGAUCACUGGGAAAAAGAUGACUGAGUACGUUACGCCAAAUAUACACACAGUGCUCAAAAAGUAUCAGACAAGUGCACCAAAAAGUUUACAGGGGCCUGGUCAUGCGCUAACCGCCGCCGCCGGCUGCCCUACCGGCCCUAAUUGCCCACUCGAUGCCAGUGCAUUUGCUGGUGCAAGUGGCAGCGGCGGUAGCAACGCUGACCUAAACAUCGCUGGUGUGCGCAACCUUUGCGGCGCGCAUCUCUCGUUGGGUAAUCUACCAUCCAAUACUACGACAAGUGGUAACCAUAAGCUAUCGCCCCACUGCCCUCAUAUUGCGUCUUCAUCAUCAGCCUGCUCAAGCUCACCGAAUUCGGGCACUGGUUUGCCACCGGCUGCAGCGUUAAUCAAAAAAGAGGUUCUCAGUUCACCCGAGCCACAUGAACUGGGCGACAUAUUACCGCCACAAACGCUGCCGCUACCGUUGUCGAUGUCGUCACAAGUAACACAAUCCCAAUCACAAACAGCUUCUACUCAGUCAUCCAUCACGACAGUUAAGAUCAUACCACCGCCACCGCCAGAAUUGUCACAACCCAUCUUUACCGCACCAGACUCGGGCUCGGGUGUGUUAUAUGAAACGCGGCUUGAAGGCAAGACGAUUGGCUGUUUCUCACUAGGUGGCGAGAUGCGUUUAUGUUUGCCGCAGUUUCUUAAUAAUGUACUUGCCGAUUUUACGCUCGACCAAAUCAACCGAAUAUUUGACGAAUUGGGAAUUUACUGUUCACAAUGUACGCCCGAUCAACUGUCGGAAUUUAAAACAGCCAAGAUAUUGCCGCCAGACGUGAAAGCGUCCGGUCUGAUAACACGCACCGAUGCGGAGCGUUUGUGUGCAGCUCUAUUGCAUCGAAUCGACAGAAAUAGUUACAUCAGUGAUGAGGACAUACCGAAAGGUGCCAUCUCAUUCAAAGUAUACCAUCGCUGUUUCGGCAAAUGCGACGGUAUUUGUACUCCCGAUUUGUACUCAUACACCAAGCCAACUUGCAUAAUGUGUCUGGAGUGCAAAGGCUGGUUUUCACCGCAGAAGUUUGUUGGCCAUGUACAUAGGGAAGUGGAAAAUCGCACAUGCCAUUGGGGGUUUGAUUCGCGCAAUUGGCAUGACUACCUGCAUGUGGCGCUGGAUGUGGAGAAUCGCGAGAAAUACCAGAAGAUACUCGAUGAGUUGAAGGAGGUCGAGAUCAAGGAAGCCCUCAAGGCACAAAACGAAAUGCUUUACAUGAAACGAAAGCACGCAUUGCAUGUGGAUGACGAAAUACUAGCUCCUCCUCAGAUGGGUCAUUCACUGCCCGGCAUGGCAUUGCCACCGCACCAGCAGGCGUCUGGUCUGAGCGAUAAGCAGCGCAGUGAUAUGCUUGCCAUUCCAGCGAAGAAAUCGAAAGGUUUCGAUGAGGCAGCAGCCUAUCAGCUCGAUUAUCAACACUACCAAUCGCUUAUGUAUGCGCAUUGUGCACAACAACAACGGGUCGGCUCGAUGUCUGCGUUUAGGCCAUGGGCACCGAAAUCCUUCCUACAUUCUCCAGCCACCUACAAUGCGGUAGCAGCGUUCUCCACACUACCCUAUCUAAGUCAAGAGCCACCAGUGUUGCAAAAUCCGGAGAGAGUAGUGCGCAGCACGGAUCGAGAACGUUUCGAACGCACCUACCAGCCAAAUGUAGCUCUAGUACCACGAAAAUGUGUUCUAGCCAAGGAAAGAGAAAAGGAGCAACGCGAAAGGGAUCGGGAGCGCAUUGAGCGGGAACGGGAGCGAGAGCAGGAGAGGAAAUUGGAACAUUCGAGAGAACGGGAAAAACAAGAACUGGAAGAGCAGGAGCGGGAGCGAAAAGAACGAGAAAUGCAGGAGCAUCGGCGACAACAAAUGUUGCAACAACAGAAUAUACAUCAGAAACAACCAUCAUCAGCACAAACUGUACAGGAACAAAUGAGUCUAUCAAGCCUUUGCCCGACAGAGCUAAAAAUAAAACAAGAACGUGCCAAUACUCCGACCGACAUACCCCAAUCACCACCGCUUACCAAUAUGAGUGGCGAUGACGAGGAUGCCCCUCGUGACCAUAAUGGCUCGGCAAUACCAAUGGUAUCGCCCAUAGCGGUUGCAAUGGGCCAACAACAAAGAAAACUGCUUAACAAUAAUAACGGCAGCAACAAUAGCAGUUGUCACAGCGAAGGCCUCACUAUACAGCAGCAACAACUUCAAGAGCAGCAGUCACGAAGACUCGCUCUCUAUAACUCAAACUCUUUCGCCUGCUCCUCUUCGUCGACGACACCAACAACACCCCCACAGCAACAACUAUUGCAUGCGCACUUGCCUCCGCCAAAACAGUACCAGCAAGAGCAAAGGCAUGGCCAUCAGUUGUCACAACAACAACAACAACAACAACAACAACAGCUGAUACACCUGAGACAAUCUCCCCGUACGUUUCCUCCAUCACCCACGGAAACUCACAGCUCGGAGGAAUUUUCAGGCUCGAACGAAAUCACAUCAUCCACAUCACCUGCCCCCUGCAACAAAACUAAGACCACCAGCCGUGAUCCUGGUCUACGCGACGCUCACACUCAGGAGUCUAGCCGAGAUCAACAGUGUCAGCCUCUGAUUGCAACUGUUAACCAGCAUGCCAAGCUUCUUCCCACGCCGAUAACAGCAAGUUUUACUGCCAACAGCAAUAGCAACAACCACAACGAAUUGCCAAGCCGAAUUCGGAUUAGCAAAAACUUAAUCAACCGAUCAAAUAUAAUUAGAUCACCAACACCUCCGCCAUCACUACCUCCUUCAUCAGCAUUAGCUCAACUCCAUCCGCUUCAAGAACAACAACACCUUCAGCCACAACAACAGCUACAGCAGCACCAACCUCAGUUGCAAGUGUUGCAAAAUCAUCACCAACAGUAUGAGUUUUAUAAACAAAAUCAGCGGCUUUUUGAUCAACAAUUUCAACAACAGCAACAACAACAACAACAACCUCUAUCAUCGAUGCAACACAAACAAUUUGUAAUGCACUCCCAUCACCAAUCACACCAAGCCAAGCAUUCACCCUCACAGUCUUCCACCGUAACCGGGCUGAAUUUGAGCACGCAUGCCACGAAAGGUAUAACACAGUUGAUGACGAGAGAUGCACAAAAACAACAAGGAGGACAGCAAACACGACCAUACAACGGUAUACCGUACAUUGGCACCGAAUUCGAGCUGUCCACAGACACUGACGAUGAUAGUGUGAACGGGGAGGCAGAUAGCAGUCAUAUUGCAUCGGCCUGGGAUACGGCGAUUGAAGCACUGCGCGACACAAGACCCAAAGAGCGAGAGCGAGUACUCGAUCUACUCCGAAAGGUGUUACAUGAAAAUCAAGAUAUGCGUUACAGCAAUCUUCAACUCAGUGAAAUGGUACAAAAGCGAGAUGCAGUGAUCAGAGAACUCCGAGAGCAGCUUCAAACCUGUCGACGUCAUUUGCAGAUGCUGAGUUUACGUCAAGAGUUGCCCGCCCAAACAAAUGGUUUGGACAUCAGUGAUGGUUUUAAGGAUGAAGAAUCACGAGGUUUGUUACUAAAGCGAUCGCUAUCAAAUACGAAAUGUGCAGAUUCAGAGCACAACAGUGUAGCCAAAGAUGUUGGAGCUGAUGAUGAACACCGUUAUAAUUCAUCAACGCCAAUGGCUAGUCCAGCCGAGUUGACUGGGGAGAAGAAGGACAAGCUGUCGACAAACGAUCAGCUGAGCGAUAGUGAGGAUGGAAGGGACCUUUCCUGCAAUAGUAAGGAAUCUGAGUAUGACAGCGAUAACGGUAGUGAUAAGGAAAGUGAACAUGCUGCUGAUUCUAUUAAUGUGAAUAAUGAUCUCAGAAGCAGUGACGAUCUCCCAUUGGAGAAUGUGAAUGACUUAAAAGACGUCGAUAUAAGUGAGCAGCCGCAAGCGAAGCGUUCUAGACUCGAAAGCGGCAGCGAAAGCAAUUGCAGCUCAAACGAGGAGUAUUCGACAGUUAAGCAUACAACGAACCAAUCAGACGAACAGGCUUCACGCAUAUCUAAGCAAGAUGACGACAACUCUUACGGUUCGGAAGAUGAUGAAACGCCAACGGCCAAUACAAUAUCAGAGUUUGCCGAGUACUCGAAUACCAAAAAUGAUCGUUAUACACAAAUAACCAACACCGAUGACCACGGUGACGACGAAGAAGAGGAAGAAGCGACUCGAUCUUCCGCUGCCAAUGGUAGCGAUAGCAACACGAACGCAUCAGAAGACGAAGAUAACGACAGUGGCCGGCCCUUAACACACCCCCUGGAGGCGGAGACAGACGUGCAAGCGCCACAUAGCAGCUCAUUGAGCACCGUACCCACGGCGACUACCCCAUUAUCACCGCAUUCUGCCGCAACUGCUGGACAGUUGUUCGACAGCAGCAAUAGCAGUGAUGAAUCGUCAAUGAAAAAAGCGCAAAUGUCAGCAUCCAACGCUCUCGCCAAAAUCACCGAAAUCACCGAAACUGCGGAUGAUGGCGAUGAUGGCAACGUAGAAGCAAAUCAAAUCAAAGAGUUGUGGAGAACAAAGGGAAAGACGCAGUGCAAAGUUGAAGAAGUUGAAAAGCAGAAUCGGGAUCGCAGCGGUGGGAAGUCGGAAAUUAGUAGUUUGGGUGGUAAUGCGAAAGCAAGUCGCUUCAACAUCAAUAAGGAACAAUAUAGUUCGCGCAGCGGACGAUAUCCUACCAAUUCGAAUACGUUGUCAACGAACACACAUGAGAAUCAACAAACCGGCGAAUUUAACGAAAACAAAUUCGAUCUCAGUGUUAAAGUGAAUAAUAACGACGUCUUGGGUAAGGAACCUCUGGCACCGCGCGCACCUCUUCCAACAAAGGCCAGCAAAAAGCAAACUCCAACACCAAACACUGAGGUACGGAUCAAAAAGGAAAUAAUUUAACCGCUUCUAAGCAAAACACGAUAAACCCGACACUCUCACGGUCUCUCGUAGACCAUGGGGCGGAAUGAACCGGCCAUGUCGCCAGGAUAAGCGGCCGCCCUUCUAAUCAUGCCUACGUACAAAUGCUUAUGUGCUCAUGUCUCUCAGAUACGACAUGGACUCAUGAUGCUCUUCUACUCAAGCGAACGUUACAGUUUAAUAAUUGCACAUGCACACAUACAUUCAUAAAUGUAUUCAAAUCAUAGUUGCGCAAAAUGCAAACAUUUUUCAAUACUUAAAAGGAAUUAAAAAUUUCAAAAUCAAAUGCAGAUGAAAGUUUCAAUGAAUAAAGCUUGAUGAAUCGAGUGCAGAAAAUUAUUAUGCCAGAGCAGAAUGCGCUGACGAAAUACUACUUUCGUUAUUGCAUUGAAAUCGUUAUCGGCAUCCAAUGUUGCAAAGUAUUGUAUAAUUACCAGUAAAAUGCAAACGCCUUAAAUUAUUAGUGCAUUUUUAACAAAUUUGUUUCGAAUGUGCAUAUGUAUGCUCGUACGUUGCUAUUAAGCCAAUCUAUACACCUUUCUGCUAUGUCCGUGCUGCGAGGCUUUUAAAGCUUGCACAUUACACCCACAUUAAUAAGUAUUUUAAUAGAUUUUUACUGUCUUAAGCUAAUCUAUAAUUUUAACGGAGAAAAUAUUGUAAUAACUGUAAAAAAGUUUUGUACAUACUAAAAUAUGUAUGUAUUCUCUGAAUACAAAGUGAACAAAGCACAGCCAUUUAUUUGCUUAAUUUUAUAUGGUUGGAAAUUACACACACACACACACACACACACUCGCAUUAACAGUUGUAUAUUUAUUAAACCAAAGGACGAAGCAAACUGAAAAAAUAUAUGUACAUGUUAGAGGCACUUUUUGAGUGACGAGGCGCAGCCAGGUAUUAUGUUCACACAGGCUGCAGUUUCAACAAUUUUGACAGCUUUAAGUCUUAGUUGUGUCGCCGGCUGCCGCGAUAGCCAAGUGUUUAGCCUUGCCUACUGCCAUUCGGAAACGAACGAGUUCUGGUUCGACCAAUCCAACAUUAAUUUUUCUAAAUUUGUUUUUGCGGAGUGGUGACUCCUCAUCAGACUUCUUAUGGCAGGGAUCGAACUAACGGAUCCUGACUUAACAGGCGAGUGUUAGUGAGUUGUGUUUCAGGCGUUGAUUGACUGAAAAAUGAAUAGGGAGAAAUAAGUAUCAGGUUCAACUUAUAUAAUCAUAAUUUGUUUUUGCUAAUUUUUCUAAUUGCGGUCGCCUCUCGGCAGGA